Molecule: long non-coding RNA, 2234 nt
Organism: Gallus gallus (chicken)
Lineage: Eukaryota; Metazoa; Chordata; Aves; Galliformes; Phasianidae
Source: Ensembl
AUCCUUCUGGAUGGAGAUUGCAUUCUUCUUGAGCUGUUAUGGGAAGGGAGGAUGACCUGGUCCAGUUCCAGUUUCCAGCAAGUAGCUACCAACAUGCAGUGCCCAAAGGCUGCCUCAUUUUUCUCAAGGCGCUUUAGGAGACAGCGAUGCACGAACCUUGGCUAACACUGAGAAAAACUGCUGUAUGGUGAACCACCCUGCUUCCUAACUGUGCCUCCCAUUCAAUGAUCAUCUAUGAAGCUAGCCAAGAGGCUGUGUCUAUGUGGGAUGGCUGUGAGCAAGUGUGAACCUUUCCCCUGAGGUCAGGAAGCUUUGAAUAAAGCCUUAGGCAAACAGGAGCUGCCUGUGACCACUGAUCACACCUCUGAGAAUGGAAAGGGCUCCCUCAAAAGCUGUCCCAGUGGGGACCAAAUCUCAGAGGAUCUUUGUCCCAUUUGGAUCUAGAGGCAAGAGGGUUGCAACGUGAUAUCUGUAACAAGACAGAAGUCAAAAAUGCAGAGAUCUGUGCAGGUUAGUACAUGAGAUGGCUCUGCAUGUGAAUUAUUCCUGUUCAGCAGCAGCUCUAACAGCUUUCUUUUGAUGCUUAAAGACAAAUGUAAUAAGAAGAUGAGCUGAAAAUGACGACUGCUGUCUCAAUAAGCUGCAGAAGCUCCACUAAUGUGGUUCAUUGGAACAUACUUUUUCCCUAUCUCUAAAACAGCUAUGGUUGCACUGAGCACCACAGCACCCUGAAUGCGUGCCUGUGUCUCCAGCAGGCUCAGCACCUUAGCAGUCUCCCCCAUGAGUAGACAGCGGCUGCUUCUUGAGAGUGUUUCACCGAAUGACAAAGCACGGGAUUGCAUAAUAUAUCUUCAGCAUGUCUCUGGGAAGGUCACUGAUAACCUGUGUUUCAGCCCAUUCCUCCUGCUGUUUGGAGUACACGUCUGCUGUGCACGCUGUAAAUGAGGAGCCCACUUUAUGCACGGAGAACAAGGGAUCUGAUGAAUGGCAAAGAGGCAUAAUUUAUAGGGAAGUAACCUGAGAAACAGCACUGAAAUCUUUUCACCCAUAAAUAAUGUGCCUUUUCACGUGAUUUUUGAAGAUCUGAGUCUUGUGGUGAAGCACGCUAUGUUGAAAUUCCUCCCUGUGUUACCUUGGUGGACUUCUCAUGGCAGAGGCAACCCAAGCUUUGCGAUGCCUUUGGAUGGAAAUGCAGAAUUGAAAUACAGAAGAGCAGCCCUUUGUUGAAAAUUGCUGCUCAAAACAGAAGAAAAAAUCCUGGGCUAAAGCAGAGGCCCUGUGGGACUUUCUGCCCUGAGCCUGCUUUGUCAGAGCUGAUGGCAGCAGCCUGGGUGCAUGGAAGGCCCAGAUCUCAUGCCCUCAGAGCCCUUUCCUUGGCUGUUUUUAUUAAUCUUCUCUUGUAAAGCUCCUCCUUGUUAUAAGCUCCAGCUCUGGCUUCUCAUUAAUUGCUGCUUAAGAACCGGACUGGUGGUUUGGACAAUUAAUAGCCUAAUAAGUGAAGGAGCCUUUCACCUCAGGGUAAGAAAUUCAAAUCCAACCCACAGCAGUAAUCUGGGGAAAUCAUUAGCUCCAGAUGGCUCACCGACAGCCAGAUAAACUGUGGCGGGGACCCUCCUGCCCUCCUUUCUGCAUAAGGCGCCAUGUCAGUACAUCCCCUGUGGCCACAGGGCAUGGGCUGAUCCAGGUGAGAGAACAGCUCCUCAGCCCAGUGUCUGGUGGUGGGGUGAUGCUAAUUUGUUCCCUUUGCUUGAAAUGAACCCUGCACAACUCCGAUGAGGUGGAUGGAGGAGAUCGUGGUUUCAGCCGCCUGUUCAUCUCCCUUGGAAAGUCAAAAGCCAUUUAUCUGGCACACUCAUAUUCAGACCAAAGUCUUACUUCUUAUGCAGCUUAAAUUAAAUUUUAGCUUGGCGUUACUUAUCUUCUGUGGCCCAAAUUAAUCUCUUUCUUUUAGUUAUCUGUAGUAUGAUUGCAGAGAGAAUUCAGUGCUGGUGGAAGUGACUGAAUUCACAGCGAUGGAGAUGGAGACAUCCAUCUCAUGCAGCAGCUGUCUGAAGGACUGCUACAGGACCAUGCACUGCCCUUCAUCUGCUCCCAGGCAGGGCCAGGGAACCUGCUUAUGUCACCCCAUGGAGCAUUUCCCAUAGACAUCAUCUGCAGACGCUGUCAACAACAGCUGACAAUUUCAUUCUUGCAUCUACAAUGCUGGAUGCGUGGGGAUUUAAUGAGAAAUUCAA